Molecule: ribosomal RNA, 434 nt
Filed under: uncultured Oscillospiraceae bacterium
Lineage: Bacteria; Bacillati; Bacillota; Clostridia; Eubacteriales; Oscillospiraceae
Description: bacterial SSU rRNA
Rfam family: Bacterial small subunit ribosomal RNA
Source: RNAcentral
ACGGGAGGCAGCAGUGGGGAAUAUUGGGCCAUGGGGGAAACCCUGACCCAGCAACGCCGCGUGAAGGAAGAAGGCCUUCGGGUUGUAAACUUCUUUUACCAGGGACGAUAAUGACGGUACCUGGAGAAAAAGCAACGGCUAACUACGUGCCAGCAGCCGCGGUAAUACGUAGGUUGCAAGCGUUGUCCGGAUUUACCGGGUGUAAAGGGCGUGUAGGCGGAGCUGCAAGUCAGAUGUGAAAUCCCGGGGCUCAACCCCGGAACUGCAUUUGAAACUGUAGCCCUUGAGUAUCGGAGAGGCAAGCGGAAUUCCUAGUGUAGCGGUGAAAUGCGUAGAUAUUAGGAGGAACACCAGAGGCGAAGGCGGCUUACUGGACUGUAACUGACACUGAGGCUCGAAAGCGUGGGGAGCAAACAGGAUUAGAUACCCUGGUA